AUGAACUUGGCCAGGGCCACCAGCUCCUGGAGUCGUCGGGGGGGGGAAGAGAAGGGCUGUGGGGUGCCGGGGGGGCUGCAGAGGGCUGGGGGAGAGGGGUGGGGAGGGCAGGGCCCUGACCUGGUGGGCAGCAGCGCCGGGGUCGUUGAGGAGGCGGUGGAAGAGGGUGAAGAGGGAGAGCUGGAAGAGCAGGGCCUCCAUGCGCAGGUCGCGGGCCAGGCGGUGCAGCAGGCGGGCGGCGCAGUGGUUGGUGCGGGCGCUGUUCUGGGCAUAGCCCCGCAGCAGCAGCGCGCAGGCGCGGACCACGGGGGCGCAGGCGAACCUGGCCCCCCCCCCAGCACUGGUGAGCGGGGCCGUGCUGGCUCCCCCUUUGCCCCCCCCUGCACCCCCCCCGGGGCCAGGCCCCCCUCACCGCUUGAGGUAGUCCAUGAAGUUGAACUCCNNNNNNNNNNNNNNNNNNNNNNNNNNNNNNNNNNNNNNNNNNNNNNNNNNNNNNNNNNNNNCCCCCCCCCCAGCACUGGUGAGCGGGGCCGUGCUGGCUCCCCCUUUGCCCCCCCCUGCAGCCCCCCCGGGGCCAGGCCCCCCUCACCGCUUGAGGUAGUCCAUGAAGUUGAACUCCUUCUCCGCCACCUGCACCGUCUGCUCCUCCUCGUCCUCCUCCACCUCCUCUUCCUCGAGCUCCUCCGGCUCCUCGGCCUCAGGGGGCGCGUGCCCUGCGGGGGGAGUGGCUUUAAGGGCCCAGAGCGUCUCCAGCCCAGGACCCCGCUGCCUCGGGGGCAGGAUUUGGCCGUGGGACUCACGGGGCAGGGCAGCGAAGAAGAUCUCCCGCAGCAGCUGGGUCUCCUCGGGCGGCCCCGCACCAGAGGGGCCGAACACGUCCCCUUCGGGCCACACUUCCCUGGGGGAGAGGGGCGCAGGCUGGCACCGGAGCCCCGUGCCCUGCCCAGGUGGGGGGGUCUGGUGGGGGCCGGUACCUGGCGCAGCGGAGCAGCCGCAGGGCCUCAGGGGCCUGGGCACCCCGCAGGCAGCCCUGGAUCCGCAGCAGAGCCUCCGCGCGCUGCUCCUCCACCGGCGUCUCCGAGGCAGCGUCGAAGGGCACCACGUCCUCGGGGAGGGGCACCUCGCCCUGGGGAGGGGACACGGCAUCACCCUGUGCCCCCACGGCCACCCGGGGGUGGUGGCGGGGCCGGAUCCUUCCCCUACCUGCAGGCAGGCCUGGAGCUGCGGGGCCAACCCUGCCCACAGCUCCUCCAGCUCGGCCGCGCUGGGUGGCUGCGGGGCGAGGGCUGCGGGCGCCCGCGGCUUCUUCUUCCUCCGCACGCGUUUGCUCUGGGGGGUGGGGGCGAGAGAGAGAAGUCAGGAGGGGCCACCCCCCGCUCCCCUGUCCCCCCCUGGCUGCAGCCUCAGCCCACCUGCACCACGAGCCCUGCGCGGCCGCGGCAGAAGUGCUCCAGCAUGCGCAGGAAGAGGUGCGCCGUCUCCACCAGGUCCCGCAAGAAGGCGCGCGGCUGCUUGGUCUCGUCAAACUUGCGGAAAAGCGCGAGGAGGAGCUCGCGGUACUCCGUCAGGUAG
This is a long non-coding RNA of Anser cygnoides (Swan goose), 1572 nucleotides long. The record is from Ensembl. Lineage: Eukaryota; Metazoa; Chordata; Aves; Anseriformes; Anatidae.